Molecule: ribosomal RNA, 422 nt
Filed under: uncultured bacterium
Lineage: Bacteria
Description: bacterial SSU rRNA
Rfam family: Bacterial small subunit ribosomal RNA
Source: RNAcentral
UGAGGAAUAUUGGUCAAUGGACGCAAGUCUGAACCAGCCAAGUCGCGUGAAGGAUGACUGCCCUACGGGUUGUAAACUUCUUUUGUACUAGAGUAAAACAGAGUAUGUAUACUCUCUUGCAAGUAUAGUACGAAUAAGCAUCGGCUAACUCCGUGCCAGCAGCCGCGGUAAUACGGAGGAUGCGAGCGUUAUCCGGAUUUAUUGGGUUUAAAGGGUGCGUAGGCGGGUUUUUAAGUCAGCGGUGAAAGUUUGAGGCUUAACCUUAAAAUUGCCGUUGAAACUGGGAACCUUGAGUGUAAAUGAAGUAGGCGGAAUUCGUAGUGUAGCGGUGAAAUGCAUAGAUAUUACGAAGAACCCCGAUUGCGCAGGCAGCUUACUAAGCUACAACUGACGCUGAAGCACGAAAGCGUGGGUAUCAAACA